CCUCUGUGGCAUUUGGAACUGUGUAUUUAUUGUGAGAGGAGGGAGCGUCUGAGCAUAUCACCCUAAGACUUUUCCCUUUAAUAAUUUGUUGUGGAAGGAGCUAAUAUAUAAUCACAAGUAACCAUCACCACCACUCAUAGGAACCUUUCUGAUAACCUCUGUGGCAUUUGGAACUGUGUAUUUGUUGUGAGAGGAGGGAGCGUCUGAGCAUAUCACACUAAGACUUUUACCUUUAAUAAUUUGUUGUGGAAGGAGCUAAUAUAUAAUCCCGAGUAACCAUCACCACCAACUCGCAUCAGUAACAAAAAUAACCUCCGACCCAUUUCUUCUUUAUUUGAAUGUUCAUAAUUAUAUCUUUUGUAUUUGUACAGGGGGACAAACAACUUUUAUACAGCUAAAAAAAUGUACACAAUAAUAAUAAUAAUUUCAAUGAACAACUUCAACAAAAUCACCCUUCACAAUAUAUCUACAUACCCAAAAAAUAUGUAUAGUAUGCAUAAUUUGAGAACUGUCUGUGAAUAUGUCUGUUAUGCCCUUGAUAGUGUGGGUCUACAUAACACUUUAUAUCGUCACCCUCAUAAAUUAUUUGCCCGAGUCAUUUUUCAGUGAUUUCCAGGUUUUUGUCUACGUCAAUUUUUUAACAUGACACCCAUUUUUGCAUAGUUGCCUUUGUUGUUCAGGGUUUGAGUGUUCUAGAAUUGACCUUUUCAUUUCUGCCUAAAUCUUAACCCGGUAGCAGCGACGGGACAAAUUUGUGGCUUUACCGUGCAGCAGUGACAGGCUAAAUUUGUGGCUUUACCGUGUAGCAGGGACGGGUCAAAUUUGUGGCUUUACCAUGUAGCCGCGACGGGCCAAAUUUGUGGCUUUACCGUGUAGCAGCGACGGGCUAAAUUUGUGGCUUUACCGUGUAGCAGGGACGGGCCAAAUUUGUGGCUUUACCGUGUAGCAGCGACGGGCCAAAUUUGUGGCUUUACCGUGUAGCAGCAAAGGGCCAAAUCUGUGCCAUGAUAUAAACCCCAAAAAAUAGAUGAUACAUAAACUGAUCACAAACGCUUCGAUAUAUAUUAUGAAAUGGUUUGUAUGAGUGAUGAUUUUUUCUCAUUUUUCUCGCUUAGAGGGACCAUUAAGAAACAUGAUCCCCGCAGCUACCGGGUUAAACCAUGAGAUAAUGAUGAUUCUUUUCCGAUUUCCGGUAAAGUAGAAAACGAUGACAUGGGCGGUUACUUUACGAAGGUGACGAUAUGCAAAGACGUAAGGUAAAGUUGAGGGCAUACGCUAUAGCUGUGCGCGGCCUCAGUGCUCAUCUCCAUAACAUUUGCCCCUUGAGCCUGUAGUGAAUAAGAACCCAUCACCCAAGAACACAGGGCCAAUAUGACGUCCAGGUUACCACAGUUUACCUUCCCCAGGUUUCCCAGGUACCCAUUUAUCGACCAGCCAGGAGGGAGGAUGAACAGCUGGGCGACCUACACAGUGACAGCCCAGGCCAGGAUUAAAAUUAGGGCCCAUAGAGGGAGUAGAGAUGCUGAGUACAUACUGGAAGGAUGAUGAUGAAAAUGGAGCUGCCAAGUAAUAGGAUAAAAGGAAGCCAAAAGAGGAGGGGGUGGAAAGGAUGGAGGGAAGGGAGGCUUGGCAUGACAGAGAAAGAUACAGAGGACAAAAGAUGGAAAUUAACUUUGACACCAUAGAUAAAAGUUGUUCCACUCCUGAGUCACUUGCAAUAGGAUAAAAGGAAGCCAAAAGAGGAGGGGGUGGGAAGGAUGGAGGGAAGGGAGACUUGGCACGACAGAGAAAGACACAGAGGACAAGAUAUGGAAAUUAACUUUGACACCAUAGAUAAAAGUUGUUCCUCUCCUGAGUCACUUGCAAUAGGAUAAAAGGAGGCCAAAAGAGGAGGGGGUGGAAAGGAUGGAGGGAAGGGAGGCUUGGCAUGACGGAGAAAGAUACAGAGGACAAGAUAUUGAAAUUAACUUUGACACCAUAGAUAAAAGUUGUUCCACUCCUGAGUCACUUGCAAUAGGAUAAAAGGAAGCCAAAAGAGGAGGGGGUGGAAAGGAUGGAGGGAAGGGAGGCUUGGCAUGACAGAGAAAGAUACAGAGGACAAGAUAUGGAAAUUAACUUUGACACCAUAGAUAAAAGUUGUUCCUCUCCUGAGUCACUUGCAAUAGGAUAAAAGGAAGCCAAAAGAGGAGGGGGUGGAAAGGAUGGAGGGAAGGGAGGCUUGGCAUGACGGAGAAAGAUACAGAGGACAAGAUAUGU
Molecule: long non-coding RNA, 2256 nt
Organism: Eriocheir sinensis (Chinese mitten crab)
Lineage: Eukaryota; Metazoa; Arthropoda; Malacostraca; Decapoda; Varunidae
Exons: 2
Source: RefSeq, a predicted model, not a curated record